Molecule: ribosomal RNA, 468 nt
Filed under: uncultured bacterium
Lineage: Bacteria
Description: partial 16S ribosomal RNA
Rfam family: Bacterial small subunit ribosomal RNA
Source: RNAcentral
GACGAACGCUGGCGGCGUGCUUAACACAUGCAAGUCGAACGGAAAGGCCCUGCUUUUGUGGGUUGCUCGAGUGGGGAACGGGUGAGUAACACGUGAGUAACCUGCCCUUGACUUUGGGAUAACUCCAGGAAACUGGGGCUAUAACCGGAUAGGAGCUCUUGCUGCAUGGGGGGGGUUGGAAAGUUUCGGCGGUUGGGGAUGGACUCGCGGCUUAUCAGCUUGUUGGGGGGGUAGGGGCUUACCAAGGCUUUGACGGGUAGCCGGCCUGAGCGGGUGACCGGCCACAUUGGGACUGAGAUACGGCCCAGACUCCUACGGGAGGCAGCAGUGGGGAAUAUUGCACAAUGGGCGGAAGCCUGAUGCAGCAACGCCGCGUGCGGGAUGACGGCCUUCGGGUUGUAAACCGCUUUCGCCUGUGACGAAGCGUGAGUGACGGUAAUGGGUCAAGAAGCACCGGCUAACUACGUG